CAAAGCCGCUGCCUCCACUGCCAUAACCAACGCCAUAGCCAUAUCCCAUAGGCUUAACUGUGUGAUCAGGCUUCUCUAUGCCAUCAAUCUUCUCUUUGUCAUUAAGCUUCUCUUUGUAAUUAGGCUUGACUAUAUGAUCAGGCUUCUCUAUGUCAUCAAUCUUCUCUUUGCCACCAUCAUUAAGCUUCUCUUUGUAAUUAGGCUUUACUACAUGAUCAGGCUUCUCUAUGUCAUCAAUGUUCUCUUUGUCACCAUCAUUAAGCUUCUCUUUGUAAUCAGGCUUUACUUUAUGAUCAGGCUUCUCUUUGUCAUCAAUCUUCUCUUUGCCACCAUCAUUAAGCCUCUCUUUGUAAUUAGGCUUUACUAUAUGAUCAGGCUUCUCUAUGUCAUCAAUCUUCUCUUUGUCAGCAUUAAGCUUCUCUUUGUAAUUAGGCUUUACUAUAUGAUCAGGCUUCCCUAUGUCAUCAAUCUUCUCUUUCCCACCAUCAUUAAGCUUCUCUUUGUAAUUAGGCUUUACUUCAUGAUCAGGCUUCUCUAUGCCAUCAAUCUUCUCUUUGUCAGCAUCAUUAAGCUUCUCAUUGUAAUUAGGCUUUACUUUAUGAUCAGGCCUCUCUAUGUCAUCAAUCUUCUCUUUACCACCAUCAUUAAGCUUCUCUUUGUAAUCAGGCAUUACUUUAUGAGCAUGCUUUUUUUCAGGAUCAGGUUCUUCUAGCUCACGCCACAUGGAUUGCAGUUUAUGAUCAGGCUUGACCUUGUCCUCAGGCUCUUCUGGUUCACCCCACCACGCGGACUGCGGAUUAUGGCCAGGCUUGACUUUGUGGUCAGGUUCUAGACUGAACAAGCCAUGAUCUUGCUCCCUCAAACUAACCUUCCCAGGCUUCACUACAUGGUCUAGAUCCUUAAGAAUCCUGCGUGCGAAAGUUGAACUGAAGAAACAUAGUAAGAGGACAAAUCCAAAGCAUUUGCCUUGGUGUCCCUUUGCCAUUUUAUUUUCUAGAAAAUAAGUUGAUUCUGCUGUACAUUCCCGAGUAAAGAACCACCUCAUGGUUUUAUAGUAUAUUAGAUUUUACUUUAAACAAAACACAUCCCUUAAACGCAAAGUGCCUUUGCUGAAAAUACGCAAGAAAUAAAGGGAUUCACAAACUUAGCAUGAAGAAUAUUAAGGAGAUUUUCUGGGAUAACACAAAUUGUAUGUUUACCAACUUCAAGUUUUGAAAACUUAUUAAGAUGAUUUGCCCAACAAGAAAGUACUCCAUCC
Molecule: long non-coding RNA, 1258 nt
Filed under: Brassica napus (rape)
Lineage: Eukaryota; Viridiplantae; Streptophyta; Magnoliopsida; Brassicales; Brassicaceae
Description: long non-coding RNA (BNAP_LNC000805)
Source: RNAcentral